GCAAAAUCCAGAUAACACAGAUCUGUGUAAAAAAAUUACACAGAUUGUUGUUCAGUUCCAGCUUUCACAAUCUGGGUAAUUUUCUUACACAGUUCUGUGUAAAAAAAUACACAGAUUUUUGAAGAGCCGUUCUUCCAAAUCUGUGUAAAAAACAGAUGUCAGUUUUAGCAGGCGGCAUUGGAGGUAUUUGCAAACUUUGUGAGUUUAAUUUCUUUAAAUACUUAUUUGCUUUAUUCAUCAUUAGUAUACUUUUUCAGACUUUGGCCAACUUACAAACUUCUCCAGUACCCGAUGACACGAUUGUUUGUGGAACCUGUGGUCCGGCAAGGUUCUCUUGGAACGAUAUUCUCCAUUGGUACAGGUUCCGGAAGCCGGCUUGGUGUGGCACUUUACGACGUCAUGUUGUUUGCCGUCGACAUCGGGAGAACCCCAAAAUUACGAUGAUUGCUAGGUGGAAGAACCGGCAGUGCAAAAACCACAUAAAAAUAUCAAAUAUGGCCAACAAUUACUUUAAGCAUAUUUAUUAGAUUAAUAAACGUAAAUUAAUCUUGUUUUCUUUCCAAAAUCGA
Molecule: long non-coding RNA, 569 nt
Organism: Culex pipiens pallens (northern house mosquito)
Lineage: Eukaryota; Metazoa; Arthropoda; Insecta; Diptera; Culicidae
Exons: 2
Source: RefSeq, a predicted model, not a curated record